CGCAUCUGUGCAUGCAGCAUAUCAAUAAGCGGAGGAAAAGAAACUAACAAGGAUUCCCUUAGUAACGGCGAGUGAAGCGGGAAGAGCUCAAAUUUGAAAUCUUCAAGGUUUUACCUUGACGAACUUGUAGUUUAAAGAAGUGUUUUCUGCUGAGGUUUUGGUAAAAGUUCUUUGGAAUAGGACAUCAUAGAGGGUGAGAAUCCCGUAUUUGACCAUUACUUUCAACUUUGUGAUACACUUUCAAAGAGUCGGAUUGUUUGGGAAUGCAGUCCAAAAUGGGUGGUAAAUUUCAUCUAAAGCUAAAUAUUGGCGAGAGACCGAUAGCGAACAAGUACCGUGAGGGAAAGAUGAAAGGAACUUUGAAAAGAGAGUUAAACAGUACGUGAAAUUGUCCAAAAGGGAAGCGUUUGACACCAGUGUUGUUUUUCUGAAAAUCAAUUAAAGAACUGUUUAUGCUAAGCUGUUUAGACUUUAUCAGCUAUCUGUUUAGUUUUGAGCUUUUCUUUAAUGCACUUUUCAGUUAACAAGUCAACAUCAAUUUCUUUUGCUGUAAAAAAGCUUGAGGAAGGUGGCUUGAGAUUCGUCUUAAGUGUUUAUAGCCUCUUGCCUAUGCAGUCGGAGAGAUUGAGGUCUGCAGCGUAGAUCCUUCGGGGCUAAAUGCAUUUGUGCUAAGUUAUAGCAUUUUAUAGACAACUUGUUGACUAUGAUUUGUCUUGUAGCUUACUCGCUUAUGUUAUUUUACCUACGCUUAGGAUGUUGAUAGUCACAGGUGUAC
Molecule: ribosomal RNA, 775 nt
Filed under: uncultured Neocallimastigales
Lineage: Eukaryota; Fungi; Neocallimastigomycota; Neocallimastigomycetes; Neocallimastigales
Description: partial large subunit ribosomal RNA
Rfam family: Eukaryotic large subunit ribosomal RNA
Source: RNAcentral